AUGCGAGGCGCAGGGACGGCCGAUAAGCUGGGCGAUCCGGCCAUGGUGUUUCUUGGUUGGUCGCCCUCGUGGACCUGCGGGCGGGAGGAGGACGGCGCGCUCUCCCUCACCCUCGCGUCGCCGUGCGUGCAGAGGGGUCUGAUCGACUGCGUCAAUGGCGUGCUCCUCGUCGCCUACGCCUCCGCGCUGCUCGCGGCCUGCGUCGGGGGGAGGUGGGAUGGGCGGGGGAGAAGCGGCGGCGCAAGGCCGCGGUGGGCGGUGGCCGCGGUCUCCGCGUGCUGCGUGGCGGUCGCGGCGGCGUACGCCGUCGCCGCGUUCAGGGGCUCCGCGGAUGCGGCGGCUCCCAUCGUCCGGGGGCUGCUGUGGGUGGCCGUGGCGGCCUCGUUGCACGUCCAGCCGACGAGGCCGGCGAGGGCCGUGGCCGUUCUCUGGUGGACGCUCUUCUCGCUGCUCAUCACCGCGUACAAUGCGGAGGUCCUUGCCACGGGCCAGGGCCUCGACGUCGCGGAGGCCGCCGCGUGGGCGGUCAACUUCCUCCUCCUGCUCUGCGCCCUCGGCUCCCUGCUCCGGCGGAGCCGUGGCCGCCAGGGCGACGACGACCUGUCGGAGCCCUUGAUUGACAAGGCGGUGCGCGACUCGGAGCUCUACCGGGCCGGCUUGUUCAGCCAGCUCGCCUUCUCGUGGCUGAACCCGCUGCUCCGCCUCGGCCGCUCAAAAGCACUGGACCUCGCCGACAUCCCGCUCAUCGCCGACGAGGACUGCGCACAGCAAGCGUCGCGUAGGUUCUCCAAGGCGUGGAGCCGCCACCGGCAGGACAAGGCGCAGAGCGGGAGAUCCAACAGCCUCGCCCUCGUCCUGUGCAAGUGCUUCCUCAGGGAGAUCAUGAUCGCCGGCUUCUACGCCUUCAUGAGAACACUCGCCAUAGCCGUCUCCCCUAUACUGCUCUUUGCGUUCGUACGGUACAGCUACCAAGAAGAGAGGGAUCACCGCGUCGGCCUCUCGCUCGUCGGCUGCCUCCUCGUCAUCAAGCUCGUCGAGUCGCUGUCCCAGCGGCAUUGGUUCUUCGACUCCAGGAGGACCGGGAUGCGCAUUCGGUCCGCGCUAAUGGCGGCCAUCUUUCAGAAGCAGCUGAAGCUGUCCAGCCAGGGGAGGAAGAACCAUUCCACCGGGGAGAUAGUCAACUACAUUGCCGUCGACGCUUACCGGCUUGGCGAUGCUCUCAGCUGGUUUCACAUGGCGUGGAGCUCGCCGCUCCAGCUCGCCUUCGCAGUAGGCACGCUCUUCUGGGCGCUCAGGCUUGGGGCCGUCCCGGGUCUAGUCCCCCUGAUCAUCUUCGGCUUCCUCAACAUGCCGUUCGCAAAGCUUCUGCAAGGGUACCAGGCCAAGUUCAUGGUUGCACAGGAUGACAGGCUCCGGUCCACGUCCGAGGUGCUCAACAGCAUGAAGAUCAUCAAGCUGCAGUCAUGGGAGGAGAAGUUCCGGGCCAUGGUCGAGUCCCUCAGAGACGCUGAGUUCAUAUGGUUGAGGGAGACCCAGAUGAAGAAAGCCUACGGCGCCGUCAUGUACUGGAUGUCCCCGACGGUCGUCUCUGCGGUGAUGUACACCGCAACGGCGAUCCUGGGGAGUGCCCCCCUGAACGCCAGUACCCUCUUCACGGUCCUGGCCACCCUGAGGGUCAUGGCUGAGCCGGUGAGGUUCCUUCCUGAGAUCCUGACAAUGAUGAUCCAGUACAAGGUGUCGCUAGACCGUAUCGAGAAAUUUCUCAUAGAAGAUGAGAUCAAAGAGGGUCUGGAGAGGGCGCUUCCACAUAACUCUGAUAUCAGGGUUCAUGUCCAAGAUGCAAAUUUCAGCUGGAAUGCGAGUGCGUCCGAUUUGACGCUAAGGAAUGUUAACCUUAGCAUAAACCAAGGAGAGAAGGUGGCCAUCUGCGGCGCGGUUGGCUCGGGAAAAUCUUCGCUCCUUUAUGCGUUACUUAGGGAGAUACCUAGAACAUCAGGAUCAGUUGACGUAUUUGGAUCACUGGCAUAUGUUUCGCAAAACUCAUGGAUACAGAGUGGUACUGUCCGCGACAAUAUACUCUUCGGAAAGCCUUUCGACAAGGAACUGUAUGAGAAGGCAAUCAAAUCCUGUGCUUUGGACAAGGAUAUAGAAAAUUUCAAUCAUGGAGACCUUACAGAGAUUGGCCAGAGAGGGCUCAACAUGAGUGGAGGUCAGAAGCAAAGGAUUCAGCUUGCUAGAGCUGUCUAUAGCGAUGCAGAUAUCUACCUCCUAGACGACCCUUUCAGCGCGGUCGAUGCGCACACUGCUGCAGUUCUUUUCUAUGAUUGUGUGAUGACAGCACUUUCAAAGAAGACCGUUGUUCUUGUGACACACCAAGUUGAAUUUCUGACUGAAACUAACAGGAUUCUGGUAAUGGAAGGCGGUCAAGUUAAACAACAAGGGAAAUAUGCAGACCUGCUGGAAUCCGGGACGGCAUUUGAGAAGCUAGUUUCAGCUCACCAGUCCUCAAUCACAGCACUGGAUACCACCAGCCAAGAAAACCAAGUCCAAGGGCAACAGGUGCUCAAUGACGGUAUAAUGCCGAGCGCAUUGCUGGCGACGCGGCAGGCCAGCGAGAUCGAAAUCUCGACGAGGGGUCCUUCGGUGGCCCAGCUCACAGAAGAGGAGGAGAAGGGGAUCGGCAACCUCGGAUGGAAGCCAUACAAAGACUACGUAGAAGUCUCCAAGGGCAUUUUACCCCUCUGUGGGAUGGUUACAGCUCAAGUGCUUUUCACAGUCUUUCAGAUCAUGUCCACAUAUUGGCUGGCCGUGGCUAUUCAGAUCAAUGUCAGUAAUGCUCUUCUGGUUGGGGCAUACUCGGCGAUCUCCAUCUUCAGCUGCUGCUUUGCCUACCUCAGAAGCUUCUUUGCUGCUAAUCUGGGACUCAAGGCCUCCAAAGCGUUCUUUACGGGUCUAAUGGACUCUGUAUUCAAGGCCCCCAUGUCAUUCUUUGAUUCGACGCCCAUUGGAAGAAUAUUGACAAGGGCUUCAUCAGAUUUAAGCAUUCUGGACUUUGACAUACCUUACUCCAUGGCCUUUGUGGUGACUGGCAGUAUCGAGGUGGUCACCACAGUGCUGGUCAUGGGUACUGUAACUUGGCAGGUCUUAGUUGUAGCAAUCCCAGUUGCAGUAUCCAUGGUGUAUGUUCAGAGGUACUACGUGGACUCAGCCAGAGAGCUAGUCAGAAUUAAUGGAACAACAAAGGCACCUGUCAUGAACUAUGCAUCAGAAUCGAUUCUUGGUGUGGUGACAAUCAGGGCUUUCGCGGCAACAGACAGGUUCAUCCACAACAACCUGCAACUUAUAGACAAUGACGCAACAAUGUUCUUCCACACGGUGGCUGCGCAGGAGUGGGUUCUUAUAAGAGUGGAAGCACUGCAAAGCUUGACCAUAUUCACAGCUUCAUUGUUCCUUAUUUUGGUUCCUCCAGGAGUAAUUUCACCAGGCUUUGCGGGUCUUUGCCUCUCGUAUGCUUUAAGCCUGACUGCGGCACAAGUUUUCCUGACACGGUACUAUUCAUACCUAGAAAACUAUAUCAUUUCAGUCGAGAGAAUCAAGCAGUAUAUGCACCUUCCAUCAGAGCCUCCCACCAUAAUACCAGACAACAGGCCUCCAAUUUCAUGGCCACAGGAAGGAAGAAUAGACCUGCAAGAUUUGAAGAUUAAAUACCGCCCAAACACGCCACUUGUUCUCAAAGGAAUCACUUGCACCUUCCCUGCUGGAAACAGAAUUGGGGUUGUCGGGAGGACAGGAAGCGGGAAAUCAACGCUUAUCAGCUCACUGUUCCGUCUCGUUGAUCCUGUGGGUGGGAGGAUACUUAUUGACAACUUGGAUAUCUGCUCUAUUGGUCUCAAGGAUCUAAGAACUAAACUAAGUAUUAUCCCCCAAGAACCUACACUUUUCAGAGGAACUGUGCGCAAUAAUUUGGACCCCCUUGGUCUGCAUUCCGAUGAUGAGAUAUGGGAGGCCUUGGAGAAGUGUCAGCUGAAGAGAUCAAUUAGCAGCACUGCUGCUCUUCUCGAUACAGUAGUGAGUGAUGAUGGCGAUAACUGGAGUGUUGGACAGCGUCAGCUCUUCUGUCUCGGCAGAGUUCUCCUCCGUAGGAACAAAAUUCUAGUGCUAGAUGAAGCAACAGCGUCCAUCGACUCCGCAACUGAUGCAAUCCUACAGGGUGUCAUCAGGCAGCAGUUCACUAGUUGCACAGUGAUAACCAUUGCUCACAGGGUCCCAACUGUGACAGACAGUGACAGGGUCAUGGUGCUUUCCUACGGUAAGCUUCUAGAAUAUGACACACCCGCCAAGCUGUUGGAAGACAAACAAUCAGCCUUUGCUAAACUUGUGGCGGAGUAUUGGGCUAAUUGCAAGCGGAACUCCACAUGA
Molecule: ribosomal RNA, 4419 nt
Filed under: Triticum aestivum (bread wheat)
Lineage: Eukaryota; Viridiplantae; Streptophyta; Magnoliopsida; Poales; Poaceae
Description: partial small subunit ribosomal RNA
Source: RNAcentral